UACGGGGGGGGCAAGCGUUGUUCGGAAUUACUGGGCGUAAAGGGCUGGUAGGCGGCCAACUAAGUCGGAUGUGAAAUCCCCAGGCUUAACCUGGGAACUGCAUCCGAUACUGGUCGGCUUGAAUCCGGGAGAGGGAUGCAGAAUUCCAGGUGUAGCGGUGAAAUGCGUAGAUAUCUGGAGGAAUACCGGUGGCGAAGGCAGCAUCCUGGACCGGCAUUGACGCUGAACAGCGAAAGCUAGGGGAGCAAACGGG
RNAcentral lists this ribosomal RNA (253 nucleotides) under uncultured bacterium. Its description in RNAcentral is "partial 16S ribosomal RNA". It matches the Rfam family "Bacterial small subunit ribosomal RNA", at positions 524 to 776 of the family's 1533-position model. The record is from RNAcentral.